RNAcentral lists this ribosomal RNA (484 nucleotides) under uncultured Alphaproteobacteria bacterium. RNAcentral describes it as "bacterial SSU rRNA". It matches the Rfam family "Bacterial small subunit ribosomal RNA", at positions 9 to 524 of the family's 1533-position model. Lineage: Bacteria; Pseudomonadati; Pseudomonadota; Alphaproteobacteria. The record is from RNAcentral.
GAGUUUGAUCGUGGCUCAGGAUGAACGCUGGCGGCGUGCUUAACACAUGCAAGUCGAACGGUCGCAAGACAGUGGCGCACGGGUGAGGAACACGUAGCUUAUCUGCCCCAAAGCGUGGGAUAACGCUCCGAAAGGAGUGCUAAUACCGCAUAAGCUCCCGGGUUAUAGAGACCCGAGAGAAAAGGCGCAAGUCACUUUGGGAGGAGGCUGCGGCCCAUCAGGUAGUUGGUGUGGUAACGGCGCACCAAGCCAACGACGGGUAGGGGACCUGAGAGGGUGAUCCCCCACACUGGGACUGAGACACGGCCCAGACUCCUACGGGAGGCAGCAGUGAGGAAUAUUGCUCAAUGGGCGCAAGCCUGAAGCAGCGACGCCGCGUGGGUGAAGAAGGCCUUGGGUCGUAAAGCCCUUUCUGCGUGACGAGGCAAGGGACGGUAGCGCAGGAAAAAGUCUCGGCUAACUACGUGCCAGCCGCCGCUGUAAU